AUUGAACGCUGGCGGCAGGCCUAACACAUGCAAGUCGAGCGGAAGAAGGGAGCUUGCUUCUGGAUUCAGCGGCGGACGGGGGAGUAAUGCCUAGGAAUCUGCGUGGUAGUGGGGGAGAACGUCCGGAAACGGGCGCUAAUACCGCAUACGCCCUGAGGGAGAAAGAGGGGGAUCUUCGGACCUCACGCUAUCAGAGGAGCCUAGGUCGGAUUAGCUAGUUGGUGGGGUAAAGGCCUACCAAGGCGACGAUCCGUAACUGGUCUGAGAGGAUGAUCAGUCACACUGGAACUGAGACACGGUCCAGACUCCUACGGGAGGCAGCAGUGGGGAAUAUUGGACAAUGGGCGCAAGCCUGAUCCAGCCAUGCCGCGUGUGUGAAGAAGGUCUUCGGAUUGUAAAGCACUUUAAGUUGGGAGGAAGGGUAGUAAGUUAAUACCUUGCUGUUUUGACGUUACCAACAGAAUAAGCACCGGCUAACUUCGUG
This 484-nucleotide ribosomal RNA is filed under the name uncultured bacterium. RNAcentral describes it as "partial 16S ribosomal RNA". It matches the Rfam family "Bacterial small subunit ribosomal RNA", at positions 30 to 507 of the family's 1533-position model. The record is from RNAcentral.